ACGUUCCUGGUUAUUUCUAUCCCUAGAUUUGUUUCAAUGUUUGUUUUAAUUUGGUUUUAUAUUUUCAAAGACAUGAGGAACUAAUUUCUUUAUAGUUGGAGGUGAAUUUGAAGCCAUGAUUAUAUGUUUUAUAUGAAUUGAUUACAUCCAGUUAGUGUUUCUUGAGUCUUGAAUGUGAUUUGCUUAUCUGAGUUAUUAAAACUUAUUUAUGUAUGUAGACUGAGGGUCCACACUUAAUUUGCAUGCAUGAAUUUGAUGCUAGGGUAUAAGGGAGUUUCACUUAAUGGUUAUGAACUUAUAUUCACAAGUAGUGGAAGUCACUAGUCAUGAUUGUGUUGAGUAAAUCCUUGGCAGG
This 355-nucleotide long non-coding RNA is filed under the name Malus domestica (apple). RNAcentral describes it as "long non-coding RNA (MDOM_LNC015408)". Lineage: Eukaryota; Viridiplantae; Streptophyta; Magnoliopsida; Rosales; Rosaceae. The record is from RNAcentral.